GGUUAGUUUGCUUUCAUCAUCUUAAUGGAAACUGGGAAACUAUACACUUCCAUUACAAUCAGAUGGCCUACACAGAGAUUCACUCGUUGUAAGUGUCAGCGAAGGAAAGAAAAAGGAACUAAGUUUUGCAUUUUUUCUUUUUUUUUUUUUUUUUUGAGGGGGAACACGAAACACUAGUUAUAUUCUAACAGGUUGUGCAUGUCAAAUAAUGUUACAGCAUUCAUGCCUGCUAAAUGAUCAUGGGCCAAUGCAAUAAUGAAGUCUACACUCUACACCAAACAUUAUUUCAUUUUCAAAUGGACCGCACUUGCCUAUGAGUAUUUGGACAAGCAUGAAGAGACAAAGGACACCACAACAAUGCCUAACAAAUUGUGCCAAGAUAAAUUUAGUCAGGAUCAACAAGGAAGCCAAAGACUAGUUGAGUACUAAUUUAAGUAAUCUGGCAAAAAAAGCAAUGUCAAAUCCCAACUAGCUGGGAUUUGACAUUGCUUUUUUU
This 496-nucleotide unclassified non-coding RNA is filed under the name Hevea brasiliensis (rubber tree). The record is from RNAcentral. Lineage: Eukaryota; Viridiplantae; Streptophyta; Magnoliopsida; Malpighiales; Euphorbiaceae.